UUUAAAGUACAGGGGAGCUUGUUUUUGCAGGCUGAGAGGAAGUCAUCAACUUCGACCCUUUUUCACCUGAUGCGGAUAAUGCCGCCGUAGGAAGUCACCCGAAAAAGACUU
This 111-nucleotide non-coding RNA is filed under the name Eubacterium sp. RNAcentral's name for it is "TPP sequence". It matches the Rfam family "TPP riboswitch aptamer (THI element)". From Rfam's summary of the family: Vitamin B(1) in its active form thiamin pyrophosphate (TPP) is an essential coenzyme that is synthesised by coupling of pyrimidine and thiazole moieties in bacteria. The previously detected thiamin-regulatory element, thi box was extended, resulting in a new, highly conserved RNA secondary structure, the THI element, which is widely distributed in eubacteria and also occurs in some archaea. Lineage: Bacteria; Bacillati; Bacillota; Clostridia; Eubacteriales; Eubacteriaceae. The record is from RNAcentral. RNAcentral also lists the same sequence under 1 other name.